Molecule: unclassified non-coding RNA, 6908 nt
Filed under: Limulus polyphemus (Atlantic horseshoe crab)
Lineage: Eukaryota; Metazoa; Arthropoda; Merostomata; Xiphosura; Limulidae
Description: zinc finger protein 239-like, transcript variant X3
Source: RNAcentral
AUGUGCAAGUUCUUCCUAAUACCAUUUCUGAUAUGUAGUUCUCCAUAUUUAUAAAAACUCUCUAGAAAUAUAUGCUGUAAACCCUAACGAAAUCUUAUAUAAAUAUAUAAAGGUUUGUUUACGAAUGGUCCAUAUAAACUCGAAAUGUCAAAUUAACUUUGCAAAGUGCUUCUUCGCGCAAAAUUAGGUGGCAGUCUAAUUAGAAGGUAAAAAUGGCUUCUACUCCUGAGCAUGUUGUUUGUACACCGACUUUUGUUUUUCCAGCAGCCUUUCCAGGUUUUGACCCACAUUCACAUAUGGCAAAUUUUCACCCAAAUAGUGGACCCUCAGCAAUAUGUCAUCAUCUAAAAUCUCAAGAAGUCCAAAAAAUCAAGACUACUAGUCAUGGUUCAGAUGUAAAAACCCAUACCCUUUUUGUUAACAAUGACUAUGCCACAACUAGCCAAAACUUUUUGGUGGCUGCUAAAGGUGUUCCUACAUCUGCUGCUUUCCCAUGUGUUAAUCCAUCCAAAGUGGUUUCUGCAGCAGCAGCUGUAGAGAAACAGGAAGACAUGAAAGACAAGUCAUGGCCCUGUCCAGCAUGUCAGGUCCCUUUCAAGACAGCAUCUGAACUCCAAGCUCAUCUUUCUCAUCACACAAAAGAUGAUAGAACAGCUCCUUGUGAAACCUGUGGUAAGCUAUUUAUUUCAGCAGAGAGAGUCAGAAUUCAUGUGCGUGCAGUUCAUGGAAAAAAGUCUUGUUCUUGUGACAUUUGUGGCAGUGGUUUCAGCUACCGUUGUAAGUUAUUGGACCACAUGCGAACCCACACAGGAGAUAAGCCAUUCCACUGUGAUGUCUGUGGAAAGAACUUUUCCCAAAAGAAUCAUUUGACUCGGCAUUCUAUGAUCCAUACUGGAGAACGUCCUUACCCCUGUGAUUUUUGUGGAAGAGGUUUCUACCGGAAAGACAAGCUAUCCCGGCACAGACGUAUACACACAGAAAAGCUUGAGGUUCACAUGCCUUCAUCACAAGGAGAAAAGCCCUGCUCUUGUGGCAUAUGUGGAAGUGGUUUCAGCUACCGUUGCAAAUUAUUGAACCACAUGCGAACCCACACAGGAGACAAACCAUUCCACUGUGAUGUUUGUGGAAAGAACUUUUCCCAGAAAAACCAUUUGACACGGCAUUCUAUGAUCCAUACUGGGGAACGUCCCUACCCAUGUGAUUUUUGUGGAAGAGGUUUCUACCGGAAGGACAAGCUGUCCCGGCACAGACGUAUACACACAGGUGAGAAGCCUUAUAUAUGUUUAGCCUGUGGUAAGUCAUUCUACCGCAGAGAUAAGUUAACACGUCAUAUUAAAAUGCACAGUGGGGAAAAGCCUUUUAUGUGUGCCAUCUGCGGAAAAAGAUUUGUUGAAGAAAGAGAUCUGAAGAGACAUAAGUGCCCUACUCGUCACUUGAACAAUAUUACUACCAAAUGCCAGAUGACAACCCCAUGCUCUGGGAUCCAGCAACAGGAGUUUGACCAACAGCAGCAGUCUGACCAUCCUAAGCAGCAAUCUGAACACCCCCAACAAGAGCAACCAAGUUAUCACACAACAGACAACACAGAUCAUACCAAGUCCCUGGACCAAAGUUUUGAAACUCAGCCCUUUCACAGCCUUUCCAAUCAAACUUGAUUGGCUGUAUUCUUAACUAGGGAUUCACUGAGUAGCUUCAGCAUACUCUGGUAGUGUUGCUUAUCAACAACCUUGUAUAUGAUUACAUUCCUUUUUUCCUAUUUUUCUUCAUUCAAUCUGUUAGAUGAGAACUUGUUAUUCUGCAUAGAAAUUACCUGGGAAAGAAAUGCACAUCUAGAAAUUUAUUUUUAGUUAUAACAAUUAGUGAGUAAUGGAUUUCAUCCCACAAUGCUUAUAAUCAAGAAAGUAGGCAAUUUUCGAUAAAAAAAAUAAAUUUUAAGAAAAAAAAAGCGUAGUAUUUUGUUAACUGUUUUUGUUCUUAAUUUUUGGGCUUCUUAUACACUUCGUAAUAUAUGGUAUAGUGGUUUUUGUUAGUAAAUUGUUAUUCAAAUACUUGUUAGAGCUAGUUAUUGUAGUGGUUUAUAUAAUGUUGUUAUACUUUUGUUGUAAAGAUUUAUUAUGUUUUAUUCACCAUGCAUUAUAAAAUCUUAUAUUUUACAUUAGUAAUGGUUUGAGUUAAAUAAUGCAAUAUGUUUUCUGGAAAUAUGACUUUUAUAUUCUGAAAGUUUUUAUGUUUGAUUGAACAUGCAGGCCAAAUAUGAGUAGUUCACCACUCCUGACAAGGCUUUAUCUUUGAGAUAUCCAUAUUGUUUGAAUACACACAUAUUUUGUGUUAGAAACAUGGAAGAAUAGGUGCUUAUAUUAAUUUCUGCAUUUUAUCAUUCAAGUUUGAAAAAGAAACUUACUAUUGGUAAUGGGCUAUUUUUGGCACAUUGAAGUUCAAAGUUGUAGAAUAGUUGUAGUGAAAUAUAGUACAUGAAGUAUUUUAAAAAUAAUAUUACAGUCAUAAUGGGUACAUUUGUCUUAGGGGUAUUCCAUUUGCUUACCAUCACAGGUUUUACCAAUUCCCAUUAACUCUUAUAGAUUAAAUAAAAUCAACUGUUUUACAAGAUUUUACACAAAAUUAAUUUAACAAUAAGCUGUACUUUAAUUAAGUUAAGUUUGUAAAUUUCAUCACAAUAAUACUAAUAUUUUACGACAUGUAUAUUAUUUUAUUGUACAUUAUUCUCUCUUGUUGAAGGAAACAAGGUAUUUGUUUUAGCAAGAUUUAAAUAUACUGCAUAUCUUUUACUUUUGUACUUGGAGUUUAAUUUUUUAAUAUGAAAUGUUUCACUAGCACUGAAAGAAGUCCUCACUACACUGAUAUUUACCAUUCUGGCUUUAAAAGUUCUUGUAUAACCUAAAUAACUGUAAAAUAGUAGUUAUCACUGCCCAUAUUGGUCCCACGUUAUGUCAAGCAAACUGUAAUAUGUAAAUAAUGUAGUGAAUAAACAUUGAUAUACAACUUAAAUUAAUACACAAAAACUUGUAAAAUUAGUAUGUAUUUACUUUGGUGAUAAUAUGGCUGGAAUGGUAAAAAUUGCCCUAUUUUAAAUGCCAAAGCUUAAUUUUUUUUUUUAUGUUCAGAUAAUUAAAAGUAAACAGGCUAAAUUUUGGAGACAUUCUGUCUUUUCUGUCAGGAAUCAUUUUGAGGAGUUUGUUUUUGACCCAGUAAGUAACACAGGAUGUAUUUAAAAAGAUAUGAUUUAGUCCACGAGUCAGAUAGGGUGAUCGGUACCAUCUGGGGAGGCAAAGUUGCAUGGUUAUAUUUUAAAGGUUUAAGUAUCUAUACAGACUGUUUGGGCAUGAUAGAUAUCUGGCUAGAGUAGCUUUUUAUUAUAUUUUUUCGCUGCUUUUAUAUGUAUACCCUAUGUUCUGUGAUUUGAUAAUUUCUGGAUUAUUUGAAGUAAAUGUCAUCUCUAAGUGUUAGUACUUACUUUUGUAUGAUUUGCUUCAAACUUAGCACCAAAUCAAAUUGUGUGAUGACAAAAGGACUAUGAAGUUUUAUGUUGAUAUUUGCUAUAACUUGGGAAUUAUUAGGUGAAACAAAAAUCUACAAUUAUAUUUCAAAAGUUCAUAAAAAUACACAUUUCAAAUUCAACAUCUCACAAGAUUUGUGUGAAAAGAUCAAUUUGAAGCUUAUAUCCAUACCAAACAUCCAUACAGCAAAGACUUUUUCUAGUAAAAAAUUAAUUACCUUGUCAAAUAUAUAUUGUUUCAAUUGAAUUUCAUAUUAAAAAUGUUAUAUAAAAUAGUCACAAUCAAAAAUAUUUCGAGAACCACAAAAUGGUAUACUGGAAAAUACAAUCUACAUUUAUAUGUAAACAUUUAGUACUUGAACUUGUUAAGAACAAGAUCUUUGCACUUAUACUACUGUCAUCACAAUUAUCUUCAACACUAUAAUCAUAAUCAUCUUCUUCAUUCUGGUCAUCCACUUCAGCAUCACAGAUAUGCUUUUUUUAUAUUGUCGUCACCAGGUUGUUGGUUUGUGUAUGCCUGAAGCCUAUACAUUUCUGUCUAUGGUAAUCUGUUAUUAAUACAAACAGGGACCUACUGUACAAAAACAGGAACAAUCACAUCUCAUCAGCUCAAGUACAACUUUUGUUGUUGGGGGUCCAGUCAUCCAAAGAAUGUCUAAAUUUCCUUCAGAGUUAGCUCUGACUUUUGUGACUUGUGGGUUUAGGUAUGUCAGGCUCAGAUUCUAAUGCCUUUCUCCAAAUAUUGGCUUGGUAAUUUGCCCACAAUGCAUGUUGGAAGAGAUGGUCUCUGCAAGGGGGAAGCUGGCUGGAAUCUAAUUUAUCUCUUUUGGCAAUAAAAAUUUUGAUAAUGACAUUGGUUUACAUCUGCAGUUUAAUUAGACAGAGCAUACAAGUUCUUCCAACUUUAAAAAAAAAGCUAAUCAGAAAGUACCCAGGAAUGGCCAAGUUCCCUCUGUUGAUAUGUAGGUGCAUUUUUCACCAACAUUAGUGCACCUGUCUUUCCUUUGUCACCAAAUGCACUGGUAUUAUCACAGUCCAGAAAUGUGUGAAGGUCAAUCAAACCAAAACAUACAUAUGCACCAAGAAAACCAACAACUUUGGUGAUGUCCUUGUAUUUUUUGUGGUUUUGUGUUCCAGAUUUGACACACAUAGGGCAAUGGAUGUCUUUGUUGAAACUCAAACAAAAAAGAGAACAUCUGUGUUUUCUGCUAAUACAGUGAUAGUUUUGUAACCUGCUUCUGUGGCGUGUGCAGUGUGUAAAAUCAUACAAGUGUCUGCCUCUUCAUGAGAUGACUUGAGGUCAUCUAUCAUCAUUAUGUUAACUUUGGUCAACUUGAAACAUGUAGUUCUUUGUAAGGUAUGUUGCAGUAUUUUUUCUUUCACUCAGUCGUCAGAAAUGUAAUAAGACUAUUUGUUUUGUGAGCUACACAAUAAUUUCCUCCACUGUUGUACUUUAUGACCUGCAGCAAGGCUCUUGAAUUACAUGCCAAAGUUAGACCCUCUUAAUAGAUGUUCUAUGACACACAUCAAAAAUGACAUCAAUCCUAUGACUAAGUGUGCCUUUGUGUAAAAUCAUUGACAGCGCAUAUUCUGCUAGUUCCACAAAGGUUGUCUCCUUUCAUCUUCUGAAUAAUACACAUUCCAUCGAUGAUGCAGGUGGAUGCUCCUGCUAUAUUUUCUGCUGGUGACAAGUUCUUCAUUACUUAACAGCCAAAAGCUGCUUUGUUGGUCUUCCAUGGUGAUCCAUCAAAAGUGGGUAGCGACCAUGGAAUUGGACCCAGUGGAUGCAUGAGUACCUCUUUGAUUUUGAGGUUUCUGUUCUGUGUAAUUAUAAUCAUGUUGCUGAACAAAUCUCUAUCUGCAUUAAGUUGCACUUUGCCAGUUGUUUUUGUAUAUUCUUUUCUUUUGUUGAGGUCAGAGAACAUCUUCAGCUUUUGUUUGGUCAUUUUGUCAUGAAAUUUAUGAAGGCAUCUUCAUCAAGGUGAUUAUUUUUGAAUUCUUGGUAUGCUUUUUCUCCUAAUUCUUGUGCAUGAGGGAGUUGAUCUGUAACAUCAGAAUUUGCUGCUUUGCCUGUUGACAGACUGACCAAGUCCAUUUUUUCUCCAAAAGGAUUCACCCAUUUGUUUUCCAGCAUAUCAACUAUAGCAUCAACAUAAGCACAGUCUUUUCAGAUCCUUGAUGCCUCUAGGUCUAUGGGAGAAAAUUUUUAACUGUGUAGUUGUGUCAUAGCUCUCAUUUGCCUGAGACAUGUCAUCCUGUACUCUGCUAUCAUGUGGUAUUUGGUGGCUCUAUUGGGAUGAAAACUGAAACCUUUGGUGCCACCUGGGGUUUCAGUGUCCUUAUUUACUGUUUCUUCCAUCACCUGAUCCACUGAAAUUUUUCCAAAUGGAUUCUGAAAUCGUAGCUGAACUGAGAACCCUCCAGCCUUGAAAUGAGUGAAGACAGGUGAAUGCUUGUUCAGUAGUUGUUGCAUGCAAGGCCAGCGCAACACUUCAAGGUGCCCUUGGUCAAAAAUAAUGAUUCAGCAUCCCAACCCCCAAAAAAAAUUAUCUCGGCUAUCCAGAUACUCCCCAUAACAUCACCCCACGCAUUUUUGUAUUUCAAAUAUUAACACAGAAAGCUUGCAAUGACAGACUAUAUUUAAAAUUUUCAGAAUUUAACUUUUCUUGAUUUUAAUUUUGCAAAUGUUGUAACAAGUUCCUUCAAGUCUAUUUGUUGUGCCAGGUCAUGUUCUAUGGACAAAGUAGCCAGGCCAACAAGUCUUUCCUGGGCCAUAGAAGACUGAACGUAAAUUUUAAACAAUUUAAGUGUGGAAAAACUUCUUUCAUCACUAAUGACAGAAACUGGAUACGUAGAGCUAUUAAAGUGUUGGAGACACUGUCGUUUUAUUCCAUAGAUCACAUGCUAGUAGGGGACUGCUUGUAAAAAAACCAGGUUACCCUUCUCAGUUGGCCUUAUCCUACUUGAACAUCUAUGAUCUGUCAACUCUCAAUGAUAUGGGAAGUUUGGAAAGUAGCAAGUAACUAUUUCAACUGAGAUUAUUGUAAAGGAAAUUAAUUUUAUUGACUGUUAACAUUCAGAUUCCCAAGUGCAUCAAUUUGAUGCAACUGUUGUAUGGUUUGUUUUUAUUGCAUUUCAAAAAAACAACUAUUAGAUGAAAUAGCUUGAAACUUCAAAUAAACUAUCUAAAAACAAUGUUGCUUCUGCAAAUGAAAUAUUAUUGUGUGUGAUAUUUGUAGCUUUGAAAAUUCAAAACAAUUUCAUUGUUAUGUAUUUUAAAAAACAACUGAGAUUGCAUACCUUUAUUGUGGAUUUUAAUUACUGAACUUGUCUUUUCCUACAUUCUUCUAAAACUUUCCUAUAUAGCUGUUAAUUAAUAAAACUGUAAAAUUUA